ACUUUUACAAGGGGCGAGCAAGAACAAAUUCAACGUGAACAAAUACAACGAACUGAAGAUGAACUGGCUCAGGUGGAGGAGGACCUGAAACGUCUGAGGGAACCAACUCAACUCCAGCUACCACUUGAACUGAUCCAGCCAAAGCCAUAAACAAAGCCAAGCCAUGAUUACUGAUCACUAAAACUUUCACACUCCGGGUGGGGGGGGGGUUAAUUUCCUUCUUUAUUUUGAUAGACAACUUUUUACCAGGAAUCCAUAUCAUUCUUUUCUUUAUUUUACAGUCUUGAUAAUGAUGCUAAUUAUGUCACAGAGGAUUAUUGAAUUAAAAGUAUUUCCCAUACAUGGAGAGAAUC
Molecule: non-coding RNA, 353 nt
Organism: Labrus bergylta (ballan wrasse)
Lineage: Eukaryota; Metazoa; Chordata; Actinopteri; Labriformes; Labridae
Source: RefSeq, a predicted model, not a curated record